UACGUAGGGGGCUAGCGUUGUCCGGAAUCAUUGGGCGUAAAGAGCGUGUAGGCGGCCCGGUAAGUCCGCUGUAAAAGUCAAAGGCUCAACCUUUGAAUGUCAGUGGAUACUGCCGGGCUAGAGUCCGGAAGAGGCGAGUGGAACUCCUGGUGUAGCGGUGGAAUGCGCAGAUAUCAGGAAGAACACCAACGGCGAAGGCAGCUCGCUGGACGGUACUGACGCUGAGACGCGAAAGCGUGGGGAGCGAACGGG
Molecule: ribosomal RNA, 252 nt
Filed under: uncultured bacterium
Lineage: Bacteria
Description: partial 16S ribosomal RNA
Rfam family: Bacterial small subunit ribosomal RNA
Source: RNAcentral